UACGGAGGAUCCAAGCGUUAUCCGGAAUCAUUGGGUUUAAAGGGUCCGUAGGCGGUUUGGUAAGUCAGUGGUGAAAGCCCAUCGCUCAACGGUGGAACGGCCAUUGAUACUGCUAGACUUGAAUUAUUAGGAAGUAACUAGAAUAUGUAGUGUAGCGGUGAAAUGCUUAGAGAUUACAUGGAAUACCAAUUGCGAAGGCAGGUUACUACUAAUGGAUUGACGCUGAUGGACGAAAGCGUGGGUAGCGAACAGGAUUAGA
RNAcentral lists this ribosomal RNA (259 nucleotides) under uncultured bacterium. RNAcentral's name for it is "partial 16S ribosomal RNA". It matches the Rfam family "Bacterial small subunit ribosomal RNA", at positions 524 to 782 of the family's 1533-position model. The record is from RNAcentral.